UUGAACGCUGGCGGUAGGCUUAACACAUGCAAGUCGUGCGAGAAGUAUCUUCGGAUAUGAGUAGAGCGGCGGACGGGUGAGUAACGCGUGGGAAUAUACCCAGUUCUAAGGAUAGCCACUGGAAACGGUGAGUAAUACCAUAUACGCCCUUCGGGGGAAGAUUUAUCGGAAUUGGAUUAGCCCGCGUUAGAUUAGAUAGUUGGUGGGGUAAUGGCCUACCAAGUCUACGAUCUAUAGCUGGUUUGAGAGGAUGAUCAGCAACAUUGGGACUGAGACACGGCCCAAACUCCUACGGGAGGCAGCAGUGGGGAAUCUUGC
RNAcentral lists this ribosomal RNA (318 nucleotides) under uncultured Rhodobacterales bacterium. RNAcentral's name for it is "SSU rRNA". It matches the Rfam family "Bacterial small subunit ribosomal RNA", at positions 30 to 367 of the family's 1533-position model. The record is from RNAcentral. Lineage: Bacteria; Pseudomonadati; Pseudomonadota; Alphaproteobacteria; Rhodobacterales.